RNAcentral lists this unclassified non-coding RNA (848 nucleotides) under Hevea brasiliensis (rubber tree). The record is from RNAcentral. Lineage: Eukaryota; Viridiplantae; Streptophyta; Magnoliopsida; Malpighiales; Euphorbiaceae.
CAGACUAGUGCUAAAGUUUUCAUCUUUAGCUUUCUUUUAGCUCUUUUAUAUAUAGUUGGGGCUUUUCCUUUUCAACUUUUUUGUGAGUUUGUUGAUUUGAGGGAAUGAAGGUAUCUACUUCUGGCUUCAAUUCUCAGCCUGAGGAAGGGGAGAAGAAAAGCCUGAAUUCAGAGCUGUGGCAUGCUUGUGCAGGGCCACUGGUCUCUCUUCCACAUGUAGGAACCAGAGUUGUGUAUUUUCCUCAAGGGCAUAGUGAGCAGGUUGCGGCAUCCACAAACAAGGAAAUAAAUGGUCAUAUCCCUAGCUAUCCUGGAUUACCACCUCAACUUAUUUGUCAGCUACACAAUGUGACCAUGGAUGCAGAUGUUGAGACUGAUGAAGUAUAUGCUCAAAUGACUCUGCAGCCACUAACUCCACAAGAGCAAAAAGAUGUGUGCCUUCUACCAGCUGAACUUGGGACCCCAAGUAAACAACCAAGUAAUUAUUUCUGCAAAACAUUGACUGCAAGCGAUACCAGUACCCAUGGUGGAUUCUCUGUCCCUCGACGUGCUGCAGAAAAAGUUUUCCCUCCUCUUGAUUACUCGCAACAGCCUCCUGUGCAAGAGUUGAUUGGUAAAGAUCUUCAUGGAAAUGAAUGGAAGUUCCGGCAUAUAUUUCGCGGCCAACCAAAGAGGCAUCUCCUGACGACAGGAUGGAGUGUGUUUGUAAGUGCGAAGAGACUUGUUGCAGGCGACUCAGUUAUCUUUAUCUGGAAUGAAAAUAAUCAAUUACUUUUGGGGAUACGACGUGCCAAUCGUCCGCAAACUGUUUUACCUUCCUCGGUAUUGUCAAGUGAUAGCAUGCACAUU